Molecule: ribosomal RNA, 484 nt
Filed under: uncultured bacterium
Lineage: Bacteria
Description: partial 16S ribosomal RNA
Rfam family: Bacterial small subunit ribosomal RNA
Source: RNAcentral
AUUGAACGCUGGCGGCAGGCCUAACACAUGCAAGUCGAGCGGAUGAAGGGAGCUUGCUCCUGGAUUCAGCGGCGGACGGGUGAGUAAUGCCUAGGAAUCUGCCUGGUAGUGGGGGAUAACGUCCGGAAACGGGCGCUAAUACCGCAUACGUCCUGAGGGAGAAAGUGGGGGAUCUUCGGACCUCACGCUAUCAGAUGAGCCUAGGUCGGAUUAGCUAGUUGGUUGGGUAAAGGCCUACCAAGGCGACGAUCCGUAACUGGUCUGAGUGGAUGAUCAGUCACACUGGAACUGAGACACGGUCAAGACUCCUACGGGAGGCAGCAGUGGGGAAUAUUGGACAAUGGGCGAAAACCUGAUCCAGCCAUGCCGAGUGUGUGAAGAAGGUCUUCGGAUUGUAAAGCACUUUAAGUUGGGAGGAAGGGCAGUAAGUUAAUACCUUGCUGUUUUGACGUUACCAACAGAAUAAGCACCGGCUAACUUCGUG